This is a long non-coding RNA of Ananas comosus (pineapple), 1270 nucleotides long. RefSeq lists it as uncharacterized. NCBI's taxonomy places the organism in Eukaryota, Viridiplantae, Streptophyta, Magnoliopsida, Poales, Bromeliaceae. The record is from RefSeq and is a predicted model, not a curated record. The transcript is spliced from 6 exons.
GACGAAGGGAAGUGGGACAACUUUUCUAUAGGGAAUCUUCCAACAAAAAUUAUUUCUAGAGGUUCCCCAAAUUAUUCAUUUGAUAAUAUUGGAUGAUGAUCUAUGCCACAUAAUGUAAUAUACCGAACUUCUAUAGUUAUGAAGUUUCGGUGGAUAUUAGCUUGAAAAGUUGUUUAAAAUAGUUCCGGUGAAAUUCAGAGUGUAUUGCGUAAGUGGUUGGGACCUUGGAGAGCAAGCUGGGAAUUUCUAGCUCGUUUUGAGCUGGAAAUGCUCUCGGGGUCCGGACCCUAGUGCCAGGGUCCGGAUCCCUUCUCUCUUCUUCCUAAGCCAAAACACACACACACACACACCCAUUGUAGAGAGAGAAAGAGAGAGAGAACCAAGCUCUCUCUCUCCCUCAAUCUUUUCUUCCUCUCUCUUGAUCUCUCCCAAACUUGGGGUUUUGGCGGAGAGCGAGCUUGGGAACGCGUUGGGAGUGACGGAUCGAGCCCUCGAGCGCUAGGUGGCUCGGCGUGCUUCCGACUCGAGAGUAGAGCCCCAGACAACUCUAAGUUGAAAAUCGGUGAGCAUUCAGUGGUCGAUUGCGAGUUCGAGCAGAACCAAGCAACGUGUGCCGCGGAAGCCCGAUUGUAAGUGUCUACAAGCAAUCGGAAAGUAUCGUGAGGCAAGGAAGAAGCUCGGUUGGAAGGUUUGUCGCCAACGUCGCGCCGCGGGACCGUUUGAGCACGCUUUUGACGCCGGGGUAGCGCGAGGAGGCUGGGCGAGCGUGGGUUUUCGCCAUUCUUGCUGUCGCAGCAGUGCUUGGCGUUGUCGAGUAUUUCAGCUCGUACUCGACGCAGGAGCAUCGGAUUUUGACAAGACUUGGUUCGCUGGAUUCAGGACAUCAAGAGGAAUCCAUGAAGCCCUUACUUGCGGGAUUUGGUGAAGUUGGAGAUAGCUCGAUUUCGGGACUCGAACAUUUUCAGUCGAUCCAGCAGGUUGUUCCGCAGCCGAGGGAGUUCCGUGCUGCCAGGGAUUAGUAGCCGAGGUCCACACGCGAGCGGCGCGGCGGCGCGAGGAAAGAGCGUAGCUCAGUAGAUAGUGCGCUCUACCACUGAGACCAGAGAUAGAAGUACCCUGGGUCGGCAUAGCUUAGGGUAUAAGGAAAGGAAAUGAGAGAAACAAAAUUGUACUAAGUGGAUUGUAUUUGGAAGCUAAAUGAAAAAUGUAAUAUGUAAAAUGUAUGUAAUGUGAAUGCUUGUAAUAGCAUAGUUGUUUUAUGUUUUUGGUA